This 253-nucleotide ribosomal RNA is filed under the name uncultured bacterium. RNAcentral's name for it is "partial 16S ribosomal RNA". It matches the Rfam family "Bacterial small subunit ribosomal RNA", at positions 524 to 776 of the family's 1533-position model. The record is from RNAcentral.
UACGAAGGGGGCUAGCGUUGCUCGGAAUCACUGGGCGUAAAGCGCACGUAGGCGGAUUGCUAAGUCAGGGGUGAAAUCCUGGAGCUCAACUCCAGAACUGCCUUUGAUACUGGCGAUCUCGAGUUCGGGAGAGGUGAGUGGAAUGCCGAGUGUAGAGGUGAAAUUCGUAGAUAUUCGGCGGAACACCAGUGGCGAAGGCGACUCACUGGGCCGAUACUGACGCUGAGGAGCGAAAGCGUGGGGAGCGAACAGG